CAGUCGCCACGGUAAUCCGUAGGGUGCAAGCGUUAAUCGGAAUUACUGGGCGUAAAGCGCACGUAGGCGGAUCGAUCAGUCAGGGGUGAAAUCCCAGAGCUCAACUCUGGAACUGCCUUUGAUACUGUCGAUCUGGAGUAUGGAAGAGGUGAGUGGAAUUCCGAGUGUAGAGGUGAAAUUCGUAGAUAUUCGGAGGAACACCAGUGGCGAAGGCGGCUCACUGGUCCAUUACUGACGCUGAGGUGCGAAAGCGUGGGGAGCAAACCGGAUUAGAUACCCGAGUAGUCCCUGUCUCUUAUAA
Molecule: ribosomal RNA, 301 nt
Filed under: uncultured bacterium
Lineage: Bacteria
Description: partial 16S ribosomal RNA
Rfam family: Bacterial small subunit ribosomal RNA
Source: RNAcentral